AACGGCCGUACCAUGCUGAAUAUACCGGUUCUCGUUAGAUCACCGAAGUUAAGCAUCAUUGGGCGCGGUCAGUACAUGGGUGGGUGACCACCUGGGAACACUGCGUGCCGUU
RNAcentral lists this ribosomal RNA (112 nucleotides) under Caerostris darwini. The record is from RNAcentral. Lineage: Eukaryota; Metazoa; Arthropoda; Arachnida; Araneae; Araneidae.